RNAcentral lists this unclassified non-coding RNA (386 nucleotides) under Hevea brasiliensis (rubber tree). The record is from RNAcentral. Lineage: Eukaryota; Viridiplantae; Streptophyta; Magnoliopsida; Malpighiales; Euphorbiaceae.
AACAGGAUCUUUCAUCAACUCAAGUGAUAUUGGACAGCGGAAGUCAUCUGGAAUAACGGGAGAUCUGUGCUUAAUCAAACUCUUGUCACCCUCAAGAGCAUCCAGUUCAGGAUUCUCUGUCAUUGCACAGUCCUUCAGCUUUCUUAGGAGGUAUGCUAUUGUUUCAAAACACUCUUCGGGAUCUCCACCACUAGAAAUGACCAUGUCAUGGAUGGCAAGCGACUCCUUCUUUAGAUCAUUUAUGGUCCUGAGAUGCAGUUUCUCAGACAGCCGUUUGAAAAUCAGGGGGUCAGGAUAUUGUUCCCUUUGUGCCAUAGCUAAAUCCUUUUCAAGUUGCUCAUCAGGUGACUCCAUCUUUCCUUUGGCUCUUUUAAAUUGAGCAUGCA